GCUUCGGUGGUCUAAUGGUUAUGAUCGAACCCUGUCACGGUUCAGAUCCGGGUUCAAUUCCCGGCCGAGGCG
RNAcentral lists this transfer RNA (72 nucleotides) under Candidatus Diapherotrites archaeon CG08_land_8_20_14_0_20_30_16. RNAcentral describes it as "tRNA-Asp". It matches the Rfam family "tRNA". Rfam says of the family: Transfer RNA (tRNA) molecules are approximately 80 nucleotides in length. Their secondary structure includes four short double-helical elements and three loops (D, anti-codon, and T loops). Lineage: Archaea; Nanobdellati; Candidatus Iainarchaeota. The record is from RNAcentral.